CUCUUGUUCAGCGGCAGACCAGGUUUAUUCAGAAAGGAGCAUCAAGUUCAGAUGAGUAUCCAAAGCUUCCACCUGUAUGUGAAAAUGAAACUAGAUUGAUCAAGAAUAUCAAGCAGCUUGAGAGUGCUUACUCCUCCAUGAGAUCCAAUAUUCAGCCGUCUGAUAAUGUUGCCAUGGUCCGUAGAACUGAAGAACUUUUUAACAAUCAGGAGAACUUUGUCUCGCCAGAAAAUGAUAAAGAGAAGUAUAGACCCACAGAUCGUCUUGGAGGUUUCUUUGAUGGCUUAUGCAAGUAUGGUCGGUAUAGCAAGUUCAGAGCAAGGGGAAUACUAAGAAAUGCAGAUCUGAAUAAUUUUGCAAAUGUCAUUUGUUCUCUGAGCUUUGACAGGGACGAGGAAUAUUUAGCUGCUGGUGGGGUGUCGAAGAAAAUUAAAGUAUUUGAGUAUCAUGCCCUCUUUAAUGAUUCUGUUGACAUUCAUUACCCAAUUAUUGAAAUGUCAAACAAAUCUAAGCUCAGCUGCAUUUGCUGGAACAACUAUAUCAGGAACUAUCUGG
Molecule: unclassified non-coding RNA, 555 nt
Filed under: Hevea brasiliensis (rubber tree)
Lineage: Eukaryota; Viridiplantae; Streptophyta; Magnoliopsida; Malpighiales; Euphorbiaceae
Source: RNAcentral